UCUCUACUACAGCAGGUUAAUGUCUCUCUCUCUACUACAGCAGGUUAAUGUCUCUCUCUCUACUACAGCAGGUUAAUAUCUCUCUCUCUACUUCAGCAGGUUAAUGUCUCUCUCUCUCUACUUCAGCAGGUUAAUGUCUCUCUCUCUCUCUCUCUCUACCACAGCAGGUUAAUGUCUCUCUCUCUCUACUACAGCAGGUUAAUGUCUCUCUCUCUACUACAGCAGGUUAAUGUCUCUCUCUCUCUACUACAGCAGGUUAAUGUCUCUCUCUCUCUACUACAGCAGGUUAAUGUCUCUCUCUCUCUACUACAGCAGGUUAAUGUCUCUCUCUCUCUACUACAGCAGGUUAAUGUCUCUCUCUCUCUACUACAGCAGGUUAAUGUCUCUCUCUCUACUACAGCAGGUUAAUAUCUCUCUCUCUACUUCAGCAGGUUAAUGUCUCUCUCUCUACUACAGCAGGUUAAUGUCUCUCUCUCUCUAUCUACUACAGCAGAUUAAUGUCUCUCUCUCUCUACCACAGCAGGUUAAUGUCUCUCUCUCACUCUCUCUCUACCACAGCAGGUUAAUGUCUCUCUCUCUCUACUACAGCAGGUUAAUGUCUCUCUCUCUACUACAGCAGGUUAAUGUCUCUCUCUCUCUAUCUACUACAGCAGAUUAAUGUCUCUCUCUCUCUACCACAGCAGGUUAAUGUCUCUCUACUACAGCAGGUUAAUGUCUCUCUCUCUCUACUACAGCAGGUUAAUGUCUCUCUCUACUACAGCAGGUUAAUGUCUCUCUCUCUACUACAGCAGGUUAAUGUCUCUCUACUACAGCAGGUUAAUGUCUCUCUACUACAGCAGGUUAAUGUCUCUCUCUCUCUACUACGGCAGGUUAAUGUCUCUCUCUCUCUCUCUACUACAGCAGAUUAAUGUCUCUCUCUCUCUCUACCACAGCAGGUUAAUGUCUCUCUACGACAGCAGGUUAAUGUCUCUCUCUCUCUCUCUACCACAGCAGGUUAAUGUCUCUCUCUCUCUCUCUACUACAGCAGGUUAAUGUCUCUCUCUCUACCACAGCAGGUUAAUGUCUCUCUCUCUACUACAGCAGGUUAAUGUCUCUCUCUCUCUACUUCAGCAGGUUAAUGUCUCUCUCUCUCUCUCUCUCUCUCUCUCUCUCUCUACCACAGCAGGUUAAUGUCUUUCUCUCUCUACUACAGCAGGUUAAUGUCUCUCUCUCUACUUCAGCAGGUUAAUGUCUCUCUCUCUCUACUACAGCAGGUUAAUGUCUCUCUCUCUCUACUUCAGCAGGUUAAUGUCUCUCUCUCUCUACUACAGCAGGUUAAUGUCUCUCUCUCUCUACUUCAGCAGGUUAAUGUCUCUCUCUCUCUACUACAGCAGGUUAAUGUCUCUCUCUCUACUACAGCAGGUUAAUAUCUCUCUCUCUACUUCAGCAGGUUAAUGUCUCUCUCUCUACUACAGCAGGUUAAUGUCUCUCUCUCUCUAUCUACUACAGCAGAUUAAUGUCUCUCUCUCUCUACCACAGCAGGUUAAUGUCUCUCUACGACAGCAGGUUAAUGUCUCUCUCUCUCUACUACAGCAGGUUAAUGUCUCUCUCUCUCUCUCUACCACAGCAGGUUAAUGUCUCUCUCUCUCUCUACUACAGCAGAUUAAUGUCUCUCUCUCUCUACGACAGCAGGUUAAUGUCUCUCUCUCUCUACCACAGCAGGUUAAUGUCUCUCUCUCUACUACAGCAGGUUAAUGUCUCUCUCUCUACUACAGCAGGUUAAUGUCUCUCUCUCUCUACUACAGCAGGUUAAUGUCUCUCUCUCUACUACAGCAGGUUAAUGUCCCUCUCUCUCUCUCUACUACAGCAGGUUAAUGUCUCUCUCUCUCUACUACAGCAGGUUAAUGUCUCUCUCUCUACUACAGCAGGUUAAUGUCCCUCUCUCUCUCUCUCUCUACUACAGCAGGUUAAUGUCUCUCUCUCUACUACAGCAGGUUAAUGUCUCUCUCUCUACUUCAGCAGGUUAAUGUCUCUCUCUCUCUACUUCAGCAGGUUAAUGUCUCUCUCUCUCUCUCUACCACAGCAGGUUAAUGUCUCUCUCUCUCUACUACAGCAGGUUAAUGUCUCUCUCUCUACUACAGCAGGUUAAUGUCUCUCUCUCUCUACUACAGCAGGUUAAUGUCUCUCUCUCUACUACAGCAGGGUAUGUCUCUCUCUCUACUACAGCAGGUUGUCACUCUCUCUCUACUACAGCAGGUUAAUGUCUCUCUCUCUACUACAGCAGGUUAAUGUCUCUCUCUCUACUUCAGCAGGUUAAUGUCUCUCUCUCUCUACUACAGCAGGUUAAUGUCUCUCUCUCUCUACUUCAGCAGGUUAAUGUCUCUCUCUCUCUACUACAGCAGGU
Long non-coding RNA from Oncorhynchus keta (chum salmon), 2383 nucleotides. RefSeq lists it as uncharacterized. The record is from RefSeq and is a predicted model, not a curated record. NCBI's taxonomy places the organism in Eukaryota, Metazoa, Chordata, Actinopteri, Salmoniformes, Salmonidae. The transcript is spliced from 5 exons.